RNAcentral lists this ribosomal RNA (505 nucleotides) under bacterium enrichment culture clone ALO1_GLFRUDD03HEE05. RNAcentral describes it as "bacterial SSU rRNA". It matches the Rfam family "Bacterial small subunit ribosomal RNA", at positions 9 to 510 of the family's 1533-position model. The record is from RNAcentral.
GAGUUUGAUCAUGGCUCAGAUUGAACGCUGGCGGCAGGCCUAACACAUGCAUGUCGAGCGGAUGACGGGAGCUUGCUCCUUGAUUCAGCGGCGGACGGGUGAGUAGUGCCUGGGAAUCUGCCUGGUAGUGGGGGACAACGUUUCGAAAGGAACGCUAAUACCGCAUACGUCCUACGGGAGAAAGCAGGGGACCUUCGGGCCUUGCGCUAUCAGAUGAGCCUAGGUCGGAUUAGCUAGUUGGUGGGGUAAUGGCUCACCAAGGCGACGAUCCGUAACUGGUCUGAGAGGAUGAUCAGUCACACUGGAACUGAGACACGGUCCAGACUCCUACGGGAGGCAGCAGUGGGGAAUAUUGGACAAUGGGCGAAAGCCUGAUCCAGCCAUGCCGCGUGUGUGAAGAAGGUCUUCGGAUUGUAAAGCACUUUAAGUUGGGAGGAAGGGCAGUAAGUUAAUACCUUGCUGUUUGACGUUACCGACAGAAUAAGCACCGGCUAACUCUGUGCCA